RNAcentral lists this ribosomal RNA (487 nucleotides) under uncultured bacterium. Its description in RNAcentral is "bacterial SSU rRNA". It matches the Rfam family "Bacterial small subunit ribosomal RNA", at positions 30 to 507 of the family's 1533-position model. The record is from RNAcentral.
UGAACGCUAGCGGCAGGCUUAACACAUGCAAGUCGAGGGGCAGCGGGAAAUGUGCUUGCACAUUUUGCCGGCGACCGGCGCACGGGUGCGUAACGCGUAUGCAACCUACCAUAACAGGGGGAUAACACUGAGAAAUUGGUACUAAUACCCCCGUAAUAUUACUGAAGGCAUCUUUGGUAGUUGAAAGUUCCGGCGGUUAUGGAUGGGCAUGCGUUGUAUUAGCUAGUUGGUGGGGUAACGGCUCACCAAGGCGACGAUACAUAGGGGGACUGAGAGGUUAACCCCCCACAUUGGUACUGAGACACGGACCAAACUCCUACGGGAGGCAGCAGUGAGGAAUAUUGGUCAAUGGACGCAAGUCUGAACCAGCCAUGCCGCGUGCAGGAAGACGGCUCUAUGAGUUGUAAACUGCUUUUGUAUGAGGGUAAAAUUAGAUACGUGUAUCUAACUGCAAGUAUCAUACGAAUAAGGAUCGGCUAACUCCGUG